GAUGAACGCUGGCAGCGUGCCUAAUACAUGCAAGUCGAGCGAACAGACGAAGAGCUUGCUCCUCUGACGUUAGCGGCGGACGGGUGAGUAACACGUGGAUAACCUACCUAUAAGACUGGGAUAACUUCGGGAAACCGGAGCUAAUACCGGAUAAUAUAUUGAACCGCAUGGUUCAAUAGUGAAAGACGGUUUUGCUGUCACUUAUAGAUGGAUCCGCGCCGCAUUAGCUAGUUGGUAAGGUAACGGCUUACCAAGGCAACGAUGCGUAGCCGACCUGAGAGGGUGAUCGGCCACACUGGAACUGAGACACGGUCCAGACUCCUACGGGAGGCAGCAGUAGGGAAUCUUCCGCAAUGGGCGAAAGCCUGACGGAGCAACGCCGCGUGAGUGAUGAAGGUCUUCGGAUCGUAAAACUCUGUUAUUAGGGAAGAACAAAUGUGUAAGUAACUAUGCACGUCUUGACGGUACCUAAUCAGAAAGCCACGGCUAACUACGUG
RNAcentral lists this ribosomal RNA (497 nucleotides) under uncultured bacterium. RNAcentral describes it as "partial 16S ribosomal RNA". It matches the Rfam family "Bacterial small subunit ribosomal RNA", at positions 28 to 507 of the family's 1533-position model. The record is from RNAcentral.